Poecilia latipinna (sailfin molly) is the source of this 621-nucleotide long non-coding RNA. RefSeq lists it as uncharacterized. The transcript is spliced from 3 exons. Lineage: Eukaryota; Metazoa; Chordata; Actinopteri; Cyprinodontiformes; Poeciliidae. The record is from RefSeq and is a predicted model, not a curated record.
CACACACACACACACACACACACACAAGAACAGCACUGUCAAAAUGAGGAUACAAGCACAGGAAUUAGCAUGCUAACCGCUAAACUUAGCCCGUUUAAUUUCAGGGUGAUGACCUUUUGUCAAGAUGGCCGAUGUUUUUGAGACGCUUUAAUCGGUUAUUGACACAAAACGUUGCCCAUCAUGUUUUCAACUUUGGUCAUCUUUUUCAUGCAAUGUUAAAAUAAUAACAUGAAGUAAAAUCAGAAACUGAUGUUUGUUAGUUUAAAGUUUGUUAGUCGUCAACUGGAAGGAGAUGAAGAUGUGGCCGACAGAGACAGUCGUCUUAAUAGUUAAUGGUAGCGCCUGCUAACGUUUUUGAUGUGUUUAGCAGUUUAGUGUUAGCCUCCAGUAAUUUUUUUGUGUUAGCAGUUUCACUUUACCUUUCACAAAUUUUUAUAGGUUUAGCAGUUAGCUUUAGCUUCUGCUAAUUAUUUAUGUGUUUAGCGUUUAGCUUUAGCUUCCACUUCUUUGUAUGUGCUCAGCACUUCAGUAUUCACUUCCACUAAUCUUUUUAUAUGCUUAGCAUUAGCUUUUGAUUAUUUUUAUGUGUUUAGCGGUUUAGCGAUAGCGGAGCUAAAAUUC